GCGGCCAUGGUGGAACUGGUAGACACGCCAGCUUGAGGUGCUGGUCCUGAGAGGGGUGGAAGUUCAAGUCUUCUUGGCCGCA
This 82-nucleotide transfer RNA is filed under the name Treponema sp. Its description in RNAcentral is "tRNA-Leu". It matches the Rfam family "tRNA". From Rfam's summary of the family: Transfer RNA (tRNA) molecules are approximately 80 nucleotides in length. Their secondary structure includes four short double-helical elements and three loops (D, anti-codon, and T loops). Lineage: Bacteria; Pseudomonadati; Spirochaetota; Spirochaetia; Treponematales; Treponemataceae. The record is from RNAcentral.